Molecule: ribosomal RNA, 399 nt
Filed under: Lactobacillus sp. DumLac36
Lineage: Bacteria; Bacillati; Bacillota; Bacilli; Lactobacillales; Lactobacillaceae
Description: bacterial SSU rRNA
Rfam family: Bacterial small subunit ribosomal RNA
Source: RNAcentral
CUAAUACAUGCAAGUCGAGCGAGCUUGCCUAGAUGAUUUUGGUGCUUGCACUAAAUGAAACUAGAUACAAGCGAGCGGCGGACGGGUGAGUAACACGUGGGUAACCUGCCCAAGAGACUGGGAUAACACCUGGAAACAGAUGCUAAUACCGGAUAACAACACUAGACGCAUGUCUAGAGUUUGAAAGAUGGUUCUGCUAUCACUCUUGGAUGGACCUGCGGUGCAUUAGCUAGUUGGUAAGGUAACGGCUUACCAAGGCAAUGAUGCAUAGCCGAGUUGAGAGACUGAUCGGCCACAUUGGGACUGAGACACGGCCCAAACUCCUACGGGAGGCAGCAGUAGGGAAUCUUCCNCAAUGGACGAAAGUCUGAUGGAGCAACGCCGCGUGAGUGAAGAAGG